Mycena metata is the source of this 95-nucleotide non-coding RNA. The record is from the annotation of a GenBank genome assembly. Lineage: Eukaryota; Fungi; Basidiomycota; Agaricomycetes; Agaricales; Mycenaceae.
GCCUCUGUGGAUCAGUGUAGAUAGCCUCAGACAUGUAGCAUGAUGACCCUCUGACAUUCAAUGAGGAGACGUGGGUUCGAACCUCACCGGAGGCA